RNAcentral lists this ribosomal RNA (253 nucleotides) under uncultured bacterium. RNAcentral's name for it is "partial 16S ribosomal RNA". It matches the Rfam family "Bacterial small subunit ribosomal RNA", at positions 524 to 776 of the family's 1533-position model. The record is from RNAcentral.
UACGUAGGGUGCAAGCGUUGUCCGGAAUUAUUGGGCGUAAAGAGCUCGUAGGCGGUUUGUCGCGUCUGCUGUGAAAACCCGAGGCUCAACCUCGGGCCUGCAGUGGGUACGGGCAGACUAGAGUGCGGUAGGGGAGAUUGGAAUUCCUGGUGUAGCGGUGGAAUGCGCAGAUAUCAGGAGGAACACCGGUGGCGAAGGCGGGUCUCUGGACCGGUGCUGACGCUCAGGCGCGAAAGCUAGGGGAGCAAAUAGG